This 875-nucleotide ribosomal RNA is filed under the name uncultured Candidatus Nitrosopumilus sp. Its description in RNAcentral is "bacterial SSU rRNA". It matches the Rfam family "Archaeal small subunit ribosomal RNA", at positions 21 to 903 of the family's 1478-position model. Lineage: Archaea; Thermoproteati; Nitrososphaerota; Nitrososphaeria; Nitrosopumilales; Nitrosopumilaceae. The record is from RNAcentral.
CCUGACUGCUAUCGGAUUGAUACUAAGCCAUGCGAGUCAUUGUAGCAAUACAAGGCAGACGGCUCAGUAACGCGUAGUCAACCUACCCUAUGGACGGGGAUAACCUCGGGAAACUGAGAAUAAUACCAGAUAGAACAUUAUGCCUGGAAUGGUUUAUGUUUCAAAUAAUUUAUUGCCGUAGGAUGGGACUGCGGCCUACCAGUUUGUUGGUGAGGUAAUGGCCCACCAAGACUAUUACAGGUACGGGCUCUGAGAGGAGUAGCCCGGAGAUGGGUACUGAAACACGGACCCAGGCCCUAUGGGGCGCAGCAGGCGAGAAAACUUUGCAAUGUGCGAAAGCACGACAAGGUUAAUCCGAGUGAUUCCUGCUAAAGGAAUCUUUUGUUAGUCAUAAAACCACUAUUGAAUAAGGGGUGGGCAAGUUCUGGUGUCAGCCGCCGCGGUAAAACCAGCACCUCAAGUGGUCAGGAUGAUUAUUGGGCCUAAAGCAUCCGUAGCCGGCUCUGUUAGUUUUCGGUUAAAUCCAUAUGCUCAACAUAUGGGCCGCCGGGAGUACUACAAAGCUAGGGAGUGGGAGAGGUAGACGGUACUCCGUAGGAAGGGGUAAAAUCCUUUAAUCUAUGGAUGACCACCAGUGGCGAAGGCGGUCUACCAGAACAUGUUCGACGGUGAGGGAUGAAAGCUGGGGGAGCAAACCGGAUUAGAUACCCGGGUAGUCCCAGCUGUAAACUAUGCAAACUCAGUGAUGCAUUGGCUUGUGGCCAGUGCAGUGCCACAGAGAAGUCGUUAAGUUUGCCGCCUGGGAAGUACGUACGCAAGUAUGAAACUUAAAGGAAUUGGCGGGGGAGCACCACAAGGGGUGAAGCCUGCGGUUC